Molecule: ribosomal RNA, 1243 nt
Filed under: metagenome
Description: bacterial LSU rRNA
Rfam family: Bacterial large subunit ribosomal RNA
Source: RNAcentral
UGAGUACGAGAUGCUACGGCAUCGAAGCAGUCUAUGUCAUAUUUCCAAGAAAAGCUUGCAAUGUCAUAAACAAAUAAUGCCUGUACCAUAACCGACACAGGUGGGUAGGUAGAGUAUACUAAGGGGCGCGAGAUAACUCUCUCUAAGGAACUCGGCAAAAUGACUCCGUAACUUCGGGAGAAGGAGUGCCUUAUUUUUAUAAGGUUGCAAUAACAAGAUCCAAGCAACUGUUUACCAAAAACACAGGUCUCCGCUAAGUCGUAAGACGAUGUAUGGGGGCUGACGCCUGCCCAGUGCCAGAAGGUUAAAGAAGUUGGUUAGCAUUAGCGAAGCUGAUAACUGAAGCCCUGGUGAACGGCGGCCGUAACGAUAACGGUCCUAAGGUAGCGAAAUUCCUUGUCGGGUAAGUUCCGACCCGCACGAAAGGCGUAAUGAUUUGGAUACUGUCUCGGAGAGGGGCUCGGUGAAAUAGACUUGUCUGUGAAGAUGCGGACUACCUGCACCUGGACAGAAAGACCCUAUGAAGCUUUACUGUAACUUGAGAUUGAAAUUGGACUUUAUCUGCGCAGUAUAGGUGGGAGACGUUGAAAAUAUUCUUGCGGGAAUAUUGGAGUCAUCAGUGAGAUACCACUCUUAUAAUGUUAGAUUUCUAACUUUGUAUCAUUAUCUGGUCAAAGAACAGUUUCAGGCGGGCAGUUUGACUGGGGCGGUCGCCUCCCAAACGGUAACGGAGGCGCACAAAGGUUUCCUCUGAACGUGUAGAAAUCGUAUCUAGAGUGUAAAGGCAUAAGGAAGCUUGACUGUGAGACCUACAAGUCGAGCAGGGACGAAAGUCGGUCUUAGUGAUCUGACGGUGCUGAGUGGAAAGGCCGUCACUCAACGGAUAAAAGUUACUCUAGGAUAACAGGCUGAUCUCCCCCAAGAGUUCACAUCGACGGGGAGGUUUGGCACCUCGAUGUCGGCUCAUCGCAUCCUGGGGCGGUAGUACGUCCCAAGGGUUGGGCUGUUCGCCCAUGAAAGCGGUACGCGAGCUGGGUUCAGAACGUCGUGAGACAGUUCGGUCCAUAUCCGGUGUAGGCGUUAGAAUAUUGAGAGGAGCCUUCUUUAGUACGAGAGGACCGAGAAGGACAUACCUCUGGUGUACCAGUUAUCGUGCCAACGGUAAACGCUGGGUAGCCAUGUAUGGAGAGGAUAACCGCUGAAAGCAUCUAAGUGGGAAGCCCACCUCAAGAUAAGUAUUCUC